This is a long non-coding RNA of Pyrus x bretschneideri (Chinese white pear), 996 nucleotides long. RefSeq lists it as uncharacterized. NCBI's taxonomy places the organism in Eukaryota, Viridiplantae, Streptophyta, Magnoliopsida, Rosales, Rosaceae. The record is from RefSeq and is a predicted model, not a curated record. The transcript is spliced from 2 exons.
AUUUAGAUUAUCUCAACGCGUUGACAGGACGCUUUGGGAUUCACUUCAUGGCGACUGGAAAUUUUUGUAUGCAAGGGAGAAAAGUAUAGUCAUAUAUGCAGAAUUAAUGCUCUUGGAAUUUUUGUACAUAUCUUUCUAUUCAUAAUUUGUGCCUUCCUACACAUAUGCUUUAAUGGUGAUUGGGGAAGCUGGAAAAGUGAUGGUGCCACAAAGGGACGCAGAGACUUUCAUAAGUAUAUUUGGUCACUUAGAUGGGAGGGUAGACCUCUGCAAGGGUGAAAACUUAGCAAAAGACAUAGCCGCUCCCAUUUCUGAAGAAACAAGCGUGAAAUCGGGAGUCCGACUCUUAUGGACCUUUGCAUUAUGGCUUCCAAGUUAGCAUAUGAGAAUGACCAAGUCAUUAGAAAAGUUGUGGUAGACAAUUGGAAGGCAAUUUAUAUCUGUGGGAAAACUCUACUGUAAUGAUCUUCUGCCCCGGUUGCCUUAUGAUUACGAAAACUUCAUGUUUAAGCAUUUCGAGGUGUGCCUUCACUACGACAGUUGUUACAUCGAACAUAGAUUGGAGGAUGAGCCAAGCAACAAUUACUUUGGAAUGAGAUACCUAAUACCAAUAUCUGAACGCUGUUUGGGAGCUCAUAAGAAGCUUAGCAAUGGGCUAUAAUAUUGUAAAAAAUGUAUCAAUAACAUGUUGAUACAUUUUGCUACCGACAUGUUAAUUACUAAUGUUAUCAAUGGCUUAUCAACAUCAUAUUGACAGUCCGUCUUUUAGUAAAAAACGAACGUCCUAUCCAGAGAAAAAUUGAUUAAACUAGAAUCUCUUCUUGCCUAAAAUAUCACCUCAAAAAGCCAUUCAUAUUCCAAUUCAUCGUCAAGUUCAGUCUUUGGCACAGUCGCAACAAUCUUCUUUUGAAUAACUACAAAAAUUCGAUGUGUAUAUUACUCUUAUACAAAGAACAAACCAUAUGUAAUAAUACAGCAGAUGCAGUAAACAGAAAA